RNAcentral lists this ribosomal RNA (484 nucleotides) under uncultured bacterium. RNAcentral describes it as "partial 16S ribosomal RNA". It matches the Rfam family "Bacterial small subunit ribosomal RNA", at positions 30 to 507 of the family's 1533-position model. The record is from RNAcentral.
AUUGAACGCUGGCGGCAGGCCUAACACAUGCAAGUCGAGCGGAUGAAGGGAGCUUGCUCCUGGAUUCAGCGGCGGACGGGUGAGUAAUGCCUAGGAAUCUGCCUGGUAGUGGGGGAUAACGUCCGGAAACGGGCGCUAAUACCGCAUACGUCCUGAGGGAGAAAGUGGGGGAUCUUCGGACCUCACGCUAUCAGAUGAGCCUAGGUCGGAUUAGCUAGUUGGUGGGGUAAAGGCCUACCCAGGCGACGAUCCGUAACUGGUCUGAGAGGAUGAUCAGUCACACUGGAACUGAGACACGGUCCAGACUCCUACGGGAGGCAGCAGUGGGGAAUAUUGGACAAUGGGCGAAAGCCUGAUCCAGCCAUGCCGCGUAUGUGAAGAAGGUCUUCGGAUUGUAAAGCACUUUAAGUUGGGAGGAAGGGCAGUAAGUUAAUACCUUGCUGUUUUGACGUUACCAACAGAAUAAGCACCGGCUAACUUCGUG